GAUGAACGCUGGCGGUAUGCCUAACACAUGCAAGUCGUACGAGAGUUUUUAACUCUAGUGGCGGACGGGUGAGUAACACGUGAGAAUUUGCCUUUAGGAGGGGGGACAACAAUUGGAAACGAAUGCUAAUACCCCAUAUGCUUUCGAGUGAAAUGGAUUUUAUCCGCCUAGAGAGAAGCUCGCGGCUGAUUAGCUUGUUGGUAAGGUAAGAGCUUACCAAGGCGACGAUCAGUAUCUGGUUUGAGAGGACGAUCAGACACACUGGAACUGAGACACGGUCCAGACUCCUACGGGAGGCAGCAGUGGGGAAUUUUCCGCAAUGGGCGAAAGCCUGACGGAGCAAUACCGCGUGAGGGAAGAAUGCCUAUGGGUUGUAAACCUCUUUUUUCAGGGAGGAAUAAAAUGACGUGUACCUGAAGAAUAAGCAUCGGCUAACUCCGUG
Molecule: ribosomal RNA, 442 nt
Filed under: uncultured bacterium
Lineage: Bacteria
Description: bacterial SSU rRNA
Rfam family: Bacterial small subunit ribosomal RNA
Source: RNAcentral